This 468-nucleotide ribosomal RNA is filed under the name uncultured bacterium. RNAcentral describes it as "partial 16S ribosomal RNA". It matches the Rfam family "Bacterial small subunit ribosomal RNA", at positions 28 to 507 of the family's 1533-position model. The record is from RNAcentral.
GACGAACGCUGGCGGCGUGCCUAACACAUGCAAGUCGAACGGAAAGGCCCUGCUUUUGUUGGUUGCUUGUUUGGCGAACGCGUGAGUAACACGCGAGUAACCUGCCCUUGUCUUUCGGAUAACUUCACGGAACUGCGGCUCUUAUCGCAUAUGAUCUUCUGCUGCAUGUUGUUGGUUGGUAAGUUUCGGCGGUUGUGGAUGGACUCGCUGCUUAUCCGCUUCUUUGUGGGGUAGUGGCUUACCAAGGCUUUGACGGGUAGCCUGCCUGAGAGGGUUACCGGCCACAUUGGGACUGAGAGACGGCCCAGACGCCUACGGGAGGCAGAAGUGGGGAAUAUUGCACAAUGGGCGGAAGCCUGAUGCAGAAACGCCGCGUGCGGGAUGACGGCCUUCGGGUUGUAAACAGAUUUCGAAUGUGACGAAGAGUGAGUGACGGUAAUGGGUAAAGAAGCACCGGCUAACUACGUG